UAAAAAAAAGGGAAUGGUGUCUCCCUUACCCAACCGCCCUAAAAAGCUGAUGGCGCCUGAUUAAAA
RNAcentral lists this non-coding RNA (66 nucleotides) under Epilithonimonas mollis. Its description in RNAcentral is "Chryseobacterium molle Fluoride sequence". It matches the Rfam family "Fluoride riboswitch aptamer (crcB RNA motif)". Lineage: Bacteria; Pseudomonadati; Bacteroidota; Flavobacteriia; Flavobacteriales; Weeksellaceae. The record is from RNAcentral.